RNAcentral lists this ribosomal RNA (460 nucleotides) under uncultured bacterium. RNAcentral's name for it is "partial 16S ribosomal RNA". It matches the Rfam family "Bacterial small subunit ribosomal RNA", at positions 338 to 795 of the family's 1533-position model. The record is from RNAcentral.
CCUACGGGUGACAGCAGUGAGGAAUAUUGGUCAAUGGACGAGAGUCUGAACCAGCCAAGUAGCGUGAAGGAUGACUGCCCUAUGGGUUGUAAACUUCUUUUAUAAAGGAAUAAAACGAGGCACGUGUGCCUUUUUGCAUGUACUUUAUGAAUAAGGAUCGGCUAACUCCGUGCCAGCAGCCGCGGUAAUACGGAGGAUCCGAGCGUUAUCCGGAUUUAUUGGGUUUAAAGGGAGCGUAGAUGGGUUGUUAAGUCAGUUGUGAAAGGUUGCGGCUCAACCGUAAAAUUGCAAUUGAUACUGGCAGUCUUGAGUACAGUUGAGGUAGGCGGAAUACGUGGUGUAGCGGUGAAAUGCUUAGAUAUCACGAAGAACACCGAUUGCGAAGGCAGCUUACUAAACUGCCACUGACAUUGAUGCUCGAAAGUGUGGGUAUCAAACAGGAUUAGAUACCCUAGUAGUC